This 429-nucleotide ribosomal RNA is filed under the name Bacillota bacterium. RNAcentral describes it as "Firmicutes bacterium partial 16S ribosomal RNA". It matches the Rfam family "Bacterial small subunit ribosomal RNA", at positions 355 to 776 of the family's 1533-position model. The record is from RNAcentral. Lineage: Bacteria; Bacillati; Bacillota.
UAGGGAAUCUUCGGCAAUGGACGGAAGUCUGACCGAGCAACGCCGCGUGAGUGAAGAAGGUUUUCGGAUCGUAAAGCUCUGUUGUUAGAGAAGAACGUUGGCAGGAGUGGAAAAUCUACCAAGUGACGGUAACUAACCAGAAAGGGACGGCUAACUACGUGCCAGCAGCCGCGGUAAUACGUAGGUCCCGAGCGUUGUCCGGAUUUAUUGGGCGUAAAGCGAGCGCAGGCGGUUCUUUAAGUCUGAAGUUAAAGGCAGUGGCUUAACCAUUGUACGCUUUGGAAACUGGAGGACUUGAGUGCAGAAGGGGAGAGUGGAAUUCCAUGUGUAGCGGUGAUAUGCGUAGAUAUAUGGAGGAACACCGGUGGCGAAAGCGGCUCUCUGGUCUGUAACUGACGCAGAGGCUCGAAAGCGUGGGGAGCAAACAGG